Molecule: ribosomal RNA, 492 nt
Filed under: uncultured bacterium
Lineage: Bacteria
Description: partial 16S ribosomal RNA
Rfam family: Bacterial small subunit ribosomal RNA
Source: RNAcentral
AGUGAACGCUGGCGGUAGGCCUAACACAUGCAAGUCGAACGGCAGCACAGUAAGAGCUUGCUCUUACGGGUGGCGAGUGGCGGACGGGUGAGGAAUACAUCGGAAUCUACUUUUUCGUGGGGGAUAACGUAGGGAAACUUACGCUAAUACCGCAUACGACCUACGGGUGAAAGCAGGGGAUCUUCGGACCUUGCGCGAUUGAAUGAGCCGAUGUCGGAUUAGCUAGUUGGCGGGGUAAAGGCCCACCAAGGCGACGAUCCGUAGCUGGUCUGAGAGGAUGAUCAGCCACACUGGAACUGAGACACGGUCCAGACCCCUACGGGAGGCAGCAGUGGGGAAUAUUGGACAAUGGGCGCAAGCCUGAUCCGGCCAUACCGCGUGGGUGAAGAAGGCCUUCGGGUUGUAAAGCCCUUUUGUUGGGAAAGAAAAGCAGCAGGUUAAUACCCCGCUGUUCUGACGGUACCCAAAGAAUAAGCACCGGCUAACUUCGUG